GAUGAACGCUGGCGGCGUGCUUAACACAUGCAAGUCGAACGAUGACCUCCAGCUUGCUGGGGUGAUUAGUGGCGAACGGGUGAGUAACACGUGAGUAACCUGCCCUUAACUCUGGGAUAAGCCUGGGAAACUGGGUCUAAUACCGGAUAUGACUCCUCAUCGCAUGGUGGGGGGUGGAAAGCUUUUUGUGGUUUUGGAUGGACUCGCGGCCUAUCAGCUUGUUGGUGAGGUAAUGGCUCACCAAGGCGACGACGGGUAGCCGGCCUGAGAGGGUGACCGGCCACACUGGGACUGAGACACGGCCCAGACUCCUACGGGAGGCAG
Molecule: ribosomal RNA, 324 nt
Filed under: uncultured Actinomycetes bacterium
Lineage: Bacteria; Bacillati; Actinomycetota; Actinomycetes
Description: bacterial SSU rRNA
Rfam family: Bacterial small subunit ribosomal RNA
Source: RNAcentral